AGGAGUAGACAACAGGGAUUGCCCUAGUAACGGCGAGUGAAGCGGCAACAGCUCAAAUUUGAAAUCUGGCCCCCGGGUCCGAGUUGUAAUUUGUAGAGGAUGCUUUUGGCGAGGUGCCUUCCGAGUUCCCUGGAACGGGACGCCAUAGAGGGUGAGAGCCCCGUCUGGUCGGACACCGAGCCUCUGUAAAGCUCCUUCGACGAGUCGAGUAGUUUGGGAAUGCUGCUCAAAAUGGGAGGUAUAUGUCUUCUAAAGCUAAAUAUUGGCCAGAGACCGAUAGCGCACAAGUAGAGUGAUCGAAAGAUGAAAAGCACUUUGAAAAGAGGGUUAAAAAGUACGUGAAAUUGUUGAAAGGGAAGCGCCUAUGACCAGACUUGGGCCCGGUGAAUCACCCAGCGUUCUCGCUGGUGCACUUCGCCGGGCACAGGCCAGCAUCAGUUUGGCGCGGGGGAGAAAGGCUUCGGGAAUGUGGCUCCCCUGGGAGUGUUAUAGCCCGUUGCGCAAUACCCUGCGCUGGACUGAGGUACGCGCAUUCGCAAGGAUGCUGGCGUAAUGGUCAUCAGCGACCCGUCUUGAAACACGGACCAAGGAGUCGUCUUCGUAUGCGAGUGUUCGGGUGUCAAACCCCUACGCGUAAUGAAAGUGAACGCAGGUGAGAGCUUCGGCGCAUCAUCGACCGAUCCUGAUGUUCUCGGAUGGAUUUGAGUAAGAGCAUACGGGGCCGGACCCGAAAGAAGGUGAACUAUGCCUGUAUAGGGUGAAGCCAGAGGAAACUCUGGUGGAGGCUCGCAGCGGUUCUGACGUGCGAAUCGAUCGUCAAAUAUGGGCAUGGGGGCGAAAGACUAAUCGAACCUUCUAGUAGCUGGUUUCCGCCGAAGUUUCCCUCAGAUAGCAGUGUUGAACUCAGUUUUAUGAGUAAAGCGAAUGAUUAGGGACUCGGGGGCGCUAUAUUGCCUUCAUCCAUUCUCAAACUUUAAAUAUGUAAGAGCCCUGUACUUGAAUGAACGUGGGCAUUCGAAUGUAUCACACUAGUGGGCCAUUUUGGUAAGCAGAACUGGCGAUGCCGGAUGAACCGAACGGGAGGUUAAAGUGCCGGAUUUGA
This 1102-nucleotide ribosomal RNA is filed under the name Cordyceps changchunensis. RNAcentral describes it as "Cordyceps sp. JH-2021c partial large subunit ribosomal RNA". It matches the Rfam family "Eukaryotic large subunit ribosomal RNA", at positions 56 to 1197 of the family's 3401-position model. Lineage: Eukaryota; Fungi; Ascomycota; Sordariomycetes; Hypocreales; Cordycipitaceae. The record is from RNAcentral.